AUAGAUAGAUUUCAAAGGUAUUUAAGAAUCACAUUUGCCUACUACUGUGAUUUCCCCAAAUGCAGGGAAAUCAACUGCAUAUUUUGUGGUAGUGGGGAACUAUGUUCAUGUUCUCCAC
Cricetulus griseus (Chinese hamster) is the source of this 118-nucleotide small nuclear RNA. Its record names the gene U1. It matches the Rfam family "U1 spliceosomal RNA". Rfam says of the family: U1 is a small nuclear RNA (snRNA) component of the spliceosome (involved in pre-mRNA splicing). Its 5' end forms complementary base pairs with the 5' splice junction, thus defining the 5' donor site of an intron. The record is from Ensembl. NCBI's taxonomy places the organism in Eukaryota, Metazoa, Chordata, Mammalia, Rodentia, Cricetidae.